Molecule: ribosomal RNA, 460 nt
Filed under: uncultured bacterium
Lineage: Bacteria
Description: partial 16S ribosomal RNA
Rfam family: Bacterial small subunit ribosomal RNA
Source: RNAcentral
CCUACGGGUGGCAGCAGUGAGGAAUAUUGGUCAAUGGACGAGAGUCUGAACCAGCCAAGUAGCGUGAAGGAUGACUGCCCUAUGGGUUGUAAACUUCUUUUAUAUGGGAAUAAAAUGUUCCACGUGUGGGAUUUUGUAUGUACCAUAUGAAUAAGGAUCGGCUAACUCCGUGCCAGCAGCCGCGGGAAUACGGAGGAUCCGAGCGUUAUCCGGAUUUAUUGGGUUUAAAGGGAGCGUAGGUGGAUUGUUAAGUCAGUUGUGAAAGUUUGCGGCUCAACCGUAAAAUUGCAGUUGAAACUGGCAGUCUUGAGUACAGUAGAGGUGGGCGGAAUGCGUGGUGUAGCGGUGAAAUGCUUAGAUAUCACGAAGAACUCCGAUUGCGAAGGCAGUUCACUGGACUGCAACUGACACUGAGGCUCGAAAGUGUGGGUAUCAAACAGGAUUAGAUACCCUUGUAGUC